UGCAAGUCGGACGAUGAUGCCCAGCUUGCUGGGUUGAUUAGUGGCGAACGGGUGAGUAACACGUGAGUAACCUGCCCCUGACUUUGGGAUAACUCCGGGAAACCGGGGCUAAUACCGGAUAUGAGCCGUCCUCGCAUGGGGGUGGUUGGAAAGUUUUUCGGUCAGGGAUGGGCUCGCGGCCUAUCAGCUUGUUGGUGGGGUGAUGGCCUACCAAGGCGACGACGGGUAGCCGGCCUGAGAGGGCGACCGGCCACACUGGGACUGAGACACGGCCCAGACUCCUACGGGAGGCAGCAGUGGGGAAUAUUGCACAAUGGGCGCAAGCCUGAUGCAGCGACGCCGCGUGAGGGAUGAAGGCCUUCGGGUUGUAAACCUCUUUCAGCAGGGAAGAACCAAGUGACGGUACCUGCAGAAGAAGCGCCGGCUAACUACGUGCCAGCAGCCGCGGUAAUACGUAGGGCGCAAGCGUUGUCCGGAAUUAUUGGGCGUAAAGAGCUCGUAGGCGGUUUGUCGCGUCUGGUGUGAAAACUCGAGGCUCAACCUC
This 544-nucleotide ribosomal RNA is filed under the name Cellulosimicrobium funkei. RNAcentral describes it as "bacterial SSU rRNA". It matches the Rfam family "Bacterial small subunit ribosomal RNA", at positions 56 to 616 of the family's 1533-position model. The record is from RNAcentral. Lineage: Bacteria; Bacillati; Actinomycetota; Actinomycetes; Micrococcales; Promicromonosporaceae.